GCGCUCUGAUGGGCAGUGUGAGCGAGACUCCCCCCCGCGCUCUGAUGGGCAGUGUGAGCGAGACUCCCCCCGCGCUCUGAUGGGCAGUGUGAGCGAGACUCCCCCCGCGCUCUGAUGGGCAGUGUGAGCGAGACUCCCCCCCGCGCUCUGAUGGGCAGUGUGAGCGAGACUCCCCCCCGCGCUCUGAUGGGCAGUGUGUGCUACCUGAUCAUGUCAACAGUAUGUAAACUGAACCAGCGUGGCUGUGUGCGAGUUUCAUGUGAAAUGAAAUGCAGGUUUGCCGUUGCGAAUCCCGGAGGUGCAGUGAAGGCAGGUUUGCCGUUGCGAAUCCCGGAGGUGCAGUGAAGGCAGGUUUGCCGUUGCGAAUCCCGGAGGUGCAGUGAAGGCAGGUUUGCCGUUGCGAAUCCCGGAGGUGCAGUGAAGGCAGGUUUGCCGUUGCGAAUCCCGGAGGUGCAGUGAAGGCAGGUUUGCCGUUGCGAAUCCCGGAGGUGCAGUGAAGGCAGGUUUGCCGUUGCGAAUCCCGGAGGUGCAGUGAAGGCAGGUUUGCCGUUGCGAAUCCCGGAGGUGCAGUGAAGGCAGGUUUGCCGUUGCGAAUCCCGCAGGUGCAGUGAAGGCAGGUUUGCCGUUGCGAAUCCCGGAGGUGCAGUGAAGGCAGGUUUGCCGUUGCGAAUCCCGGAGGUGCAGUGAAGGCAGGUUUGCCGUUGCGAAUCCCGGAGGUGCAGUGAAGGCAGGUUUGCCGUUGCGAAUCCCGGAGGUGCAGUGAAGGCAGGUUUGCCGUUGCGAAUCCCGGAGGUGCAGUGAAGGCAGGUUUG
Long non-coding RNA from Polyodon spathula (Mississippi paddlefish), 812 nucleotides. RefSeq lists it as uncharacterized. The record is from RefSeq and is a predicted model, not a curated record. The transcript has 3 exons. NCBI's taxonomy places the organism in Eukaryota, Metazoa, Chordata, Actinopteri, Acipenseriformes, Polyodontidae.